ACGUUCGUGGCUUAAUAGUAUCACCCAACAACAAAUCAUAUUUAUCAGUAACACCUGUGGAAUGUUGACACCGAUCAACCAGGGAAAUAGCAUAACAUGAAGCGCUUGCGAAUACGCAACACGCAAAUCAAAUAACGGCCCAACCAGGACAUCCGAGGGUUCAUUGCCUUUACCUGCUAUGUCACAAGCUCCGGCACCAGGUCAAACGGGGUCUUCUGCCGAGCCACCUUGUCAACUGCCUUCUUGGUGUCGAUCCAAAGGAGUGAAAACAACCCUGUCCAAGACAGGCUGCCCUGUUCUGGAUGACUUGGCCGAGAAAAUACACCAGUCAGGCUCCUGUUCCGGUCACCAGAGUUCCGGGAACCAGAGCCCGCAAGGCCGAUGGAGCGGCCACAUGUCCAGGGCGUCGCUGGCGGGCGCGGCGGCACGAGCGGCCACCGG
Molecule: long non-coding RNA, 441 nt
Organism: Pollicipes pollicipes
Lineage: Eukaryota; Metazoa; Arthropoda; Thecostraca; Pollicipedomorpha; Pollicipedidae
Exons: 3
Source: RefSeq, a predicted model, not a curated record